Molecule: microRNA, 23 nt
Filed under: Pristionchus pacificus
Lineage: Eukaryota; Metazoa; Nematoda; Chromadorea; Rhabditida; Neodiplogasteridae
Description: ppc-miR-8337-3p
Source: miRBase by way of RNAcentral
GUUCGAUGCCUGGUACUUACAGA